ACUACGAGCUCCGUGAUGCCUCGCGCGCCCCAUCUGCGCAUGCGCCGCCCUUCCCCCAGCGAGUGUGUGACCCGACGUGGAGCCAGGAGCCCAGAGCCUAGUGAGGGGCGGGGACCGGGGCGUUGCGGGGGCGCGCCCUUCUCGGGAGUCUCUGGGCUGCGGUGGCGGACUACGACUUUGAUCCGGGUGAGGGCUCUGCGAAUGGGCAAGCAAAACCCUCUGAGUCCGGGCCUCGUUGCUCGGUGCUGUGUGUUAAGCGCCUGCGCUGUGCUAGGACCGGGCGUGCUGCCGUGGGCAAAAAGUGAUGCUUUCCUGAAGCGUAAAGUUCUGGGAGGGACGACCAAGAGGACAGCGGAUGCGUCCUGCCCCGGUAGCUACGCGGCCGGUGGAAGAGCAGAGACCAGCACGGGCGAUGCGGCGGGGCCGGGCUUGCUGCACCGCUCUGCGCCGCGGGGUGAUGGGGAGAGGCGCCUUCAUUGGGGAUGAAGGGCGGGCAGCUGCCCGGAGGAGGUCCUGGAGCCCGGUGGGAACAGCCUCUUCGGGACUGCUCCGAGAGACGGUGUGCAGAGCCUGGCGUGCUCGCUGAGCUGUAAAAGAAGAACAGAACCUACCUGCAGGGCAGAGUGAGAACAGAGCCAGCCAGUGUGAAGAGGGCUCUCCAGAGCUUGGCGCAGAGCUCACAGCAGAGUUUUGCUGUUGUUGCCCAGGCUGGAGUGCACUGGUGCGAUCUCAGCCUUUCACC
Molecule: long non-coding RNA, 742 nt
Organism: Rhinopithecus roxellana (golden snub-nosed monkey)
Lineage: Eukaryota; Metazoa; Chordata; Mammalia; Primates; Cercopithecidae
Exons: 3
Source: RefSeq, a predicted model, not a curated record